This is a long non-coding RNA of Labeo rohita (rohu), 1774 nucleotides long. RefSeq lists it as uncharacterized. The transcript has 3 exons. The record is from RefSeq and is a predicted model, not a curated record. NCBI's taxonomy places the organism in Eukaryota, Metazoa, Chordata, Actinopteri, Cypriniformes, Cyprinidae.
CAUCCUGUUGAUGCGUUUGUGUAGGUUUCAUUUACAGAAUCUAGAAGACCACCACAGGACACAUUUGAUGCAUCAAUUAAUCAGUUUUUUUCAAGGUUUUUAUUUAUUUAUUUAUUUAUUUUUUACUAUGUUCAUAUUUGUCAAGUUGAUUUCGAGACCAAAGCUCAUGGAAAAACCUUCAGAAGACCCUUGAAGAGCAACUAAACGACGAAAGGCUCUAUUGUCAUUAAUGAAGAUAGUUGCAAAGUGUGGUUUUGCCGGAAAUGACAGACACAGUGACAGAUAAGUUGGUUUUAAUGAAACAAAUUGCUUGAUCUGCUUUUAUGGCUAUUUAUUUAUUUAUUUAUUUAUUUAUUUAUUUUUUUAUAAAGCCUGUAAUAGGCAUGUAAUAAACGUGCUGUUACAAUCCUAGACAAUAUUAGUUUUUAAAUAAAAGUUUGUGACUCUGAUUCUCUUGUGAAAUAAUUAUCAUAUAUACGUUUAUUAUAUAGUUAAACAAUGUUUAAUUUAUAAAGUGGCACAAUUAUUUUUAAGUUACAUUAAACUUUUUUUUUUGGCCGUGUAUAUAUAUUUUUUCAUACGUAUUUAUUGGACCUUCGUUAGACAGCGCGCCCUCUUGUUGCCAUCUUUAAAAAAACUGCAAUCAUGGUACGUAUAAAUAUUGCUUAUGAACUCUUUCAUAUUUCCAUAAAAACCUGUUUUAGUACUCAGUCAUUACAAUUAAAGAUGAUCUGGAUAAUAAUGAGUAACUACUGAAGCUUUUAUUGUAACAAUGUAACAAUGGGAGCAGUGCUCCGUUUAGGUGGGUUCAAAUAUCAACAAAAGGCUAAUAGGCUGUUAGCUUAUUAGCCUUUCUGUAAAUCGUUGCGUGUUGCAUCUGUAGUUAGUCUAUAGAGUUUAUAAAUUGCUAAAAAAUCUUAAAUUUACUGUUAUUGUUAUUUACUAUUAUUUAUUAUUUAGUUUUUGUUGGCUUCUUGUUUUGGGCCCUUGUUCAUCUGUCAAGAUCAUCAAAUUGCUUAACUUGAGGCUUAUAAUGAGUAAUUUUGAAGAUUACAGUUUUGAUUAUUACAUUACAGCACAUACAGUAUAUCAGAGAUGUUUUAUGUACAACUUGUGGUGUAAUGGUUACAUUUCUAGUCUGGAAACCGAAAGUUUACAAACCCACAAGGCCCGAUCCACAAGCUAUCGUCAUUGCAUAUGAUAAACUAAAUAAUUAAUAUUUUGUUCGCUUGAAAAGUGGGUUUUUAGUGCCUUCAGGGCAGAGUCAUGACAGUUUAAACAUAUGUGACGUCUUCUGAAGAGUUCAAGUCUUCAUUAGGCCGGUCAAACUCCCUUAUAAUUCACACUAUGGAUAACUACUCCUGCUAACUACUGUUUUAUUUGCAUUUGUUUUCAGGGUGCAGUAUUCUGUAUCCCCCAUCAACCCACACUGGGUCAAAUGAAGACCUCUGUCCAGUGUGUGGAGAACCCUAAAGGAUUGGAUGGAGUGAUUAUAUACGACCAGAUGUUGUUCCCCAAGAACAAACAACACUUGGUGGCAGUUUGUGAUCAUAUAGAAGACUCCUACAACGGGAAAAGCUCCGUCAGACCAGUUCUGUUGUUCUGGCAGAUGAAGAAAGAGAAAUAAAGGCAUUUCACCACCAUUUGUGUCGUCUGUGUAUUUACAUAUAUUUGUUUUUACACAUUUGUAACAACGAAAUGGUUAUUUUGUACACACUUUAAUCAAGCAUGGCAAAAUGUUUUGAAACAUAAUUAAAAUGCACUUCAAAUUGAA